RNAcentral lists this long non-coding RNA (36196 nucleotides) under Medicago truncatula (barrel medic). Its description in RNAcentral is "long non-coding RNA (MTRU_LNC005150)". The record is from RNAcentral. Lineage: Eukaryota; Viridiplantae; Streptophyta; Magnoliopsida; Fabales; Fabaceae.
CCUAUGGAUAUUAAGCUUGAUCAACUGGUUCUUGUGAUGAUGGAUGUGCUUUUGUUGGAGAAUCAACUUCCUUAUGAAGUACUCAAGCUAUUGUGGAAAGAUAACAAUGAGAAUGAAUUGAUAAAAUGCAUGACGAGUUUUCCCAACUAUCUUGAGAUCUUACCAGAUGAGGAUGAGUCACAGUCAGAGAAGGAGAAGGAAGGAGAAGGAGAACAUAGUGUAUUAAUACCAGACGAGUUGCAAUCAGAGAUGGAGGAGGAAGGAGAAGGAGAACAUAGUGUAUCAAUACCAGACGAGUUGCAAUCAGAGAUGGAGGAGGAAGGAGAAGGAGAACAUAGUGUAUCAAUACCAGACGAGUUGCAAUCAGAGAUGGAGGAGGAAGGAGAAGGAGAACAUAGUGUAUCAAUACCAGACGAGUUGCAAUCAGAGAUGGAGGAGGAAGGAGAAGGAGAACAUAGUGUAUCAAUACCAGACGAGUUGCAAUCAGAGAUGGAGGAGGAAGGAGAAGGAGAACAUAGUGUAUCAAUACCAGACGAGUUGCAAUCAGAGAUGGAGGAGGAAGGAGAAGGAGAACAUAGUGUAUCAAUACCAGACGAGUUGCAAUCAGAGAUGGAGGAGGAAGGAGAAGGAGAACAUAGUGUAUCAAUACCAGACGAGUUGCAAUCAGAGAUGGAGGAGGAAGGAGAAGGAGAACAUAGUGUAUCAAUACCAGACGAGUUGCAAUCAGAGAUGGAGGAGGAAGGAGAAGGAGAACAUAGUGUAUCAAUACCAGACGAGUUGCAAUCAGAGAUGGAGGAGGAAGGAGAAGGAGAACAUAGUGUAUCAAUACCAGACGAGUUGCAAUCAGAGAUGGAGGAGGAAGGAGAAGGAGAACAUAGUGUAUCAAUACCAGACGAGUUGCAAUCAGAGAUGGAGGAGGAAGGAGAAGGAGAACAUAGUGUAUUAAUACCAGACGAGUUGCAAUCAGAGAUGGAGGAGGAAGGAGAAGGAGAACAUAGUGUAUCAAUACCAGACGAGUUGCAAUCAGAGAUCGAGGAGGAAGGAGAAGGAGAACAUAGUGCAUCAAUACCAGUACCAAAUGAGUCACAGUUAGAGAAACCAACUCAUCUUCUUGAUCUUCAACGCAAAGUCAUCCUCACUACAUCUAAUUCCAAGGUACAAUAGAAUUAACAAUAAAAAGUACUAAAAUAAAUUGAAAUAACAAAAGAAAUUAGAGACAAAAAAAAUAUUUGGUUACAAAAUUAAGGACAGAAUUAGAAACGGAGUAAUUUGUCUUUUUUGGUUUCUAAAUAAUCUUUCCUUUGCAAAAUGUGAUAUUUAUUAUAGUACAAUACAAGCAAUUAAGUAUAAUUUUGAAAUUUUGUUAUUAUCAUAAGUUAGAUGAUACAAUCCAUUGGAAAUAAAAGCAAUGAAGCUGCCGACAUGAAAUGGAGUCAGAAGCUUCUUCAAAAAAUAAAGAUAUGGAGUCGGAAGCUUCUUCAAAAAAUAACGAAUUGGAAAUGGAAGCUUUAUUAUAAAAUAAUGAAAUGGAUUGGGAAGAAAUCAAAGCGAUAUGUCGUACCGUUCACAUACAGGAACAUACAAGAUCUAAAAGCUGUAGGAAUAAGACUUAAGACAAGCAUGACACAAAGGCCAAGAGACAUAGAUUUCUGCGGAGGAUGGUUCGCUGCAGAACUGACUCUUCCUAUGAUCAUUGUGACCAACGGUUCAGCCCAUAUGUUCCUCAACCUGAUAGCAUAUGAGAUGUGUCCAGAUUUUGAGAACGAUUACGAAAUUUGUUCUUUUCUAGCUUUCAUGGACUCGCUCAUCGACCAUCCUGAAGACGUGAAGGAAUUGAGAUCAAAUGGGAUUUUGCUCAAUAAACUUGGGAGUGAUGAGGAAGUUGCCCAUCUUUUCAAUAUCAUAAGUACUGACUUGGUACGAAACACAUACAUAUACCAUGACGUUAAAUGGAAAAUAAAUGAUCAUUACUGUAAUAAAUACAAGACUUGGAUAGCGCAGGGUUUUCACACUUACUUCAACAGUCCUUGGGCCAUUAUUGCAUUCAUUGCUGCGGUUGUCGUCCUUGUUCUUACUUUCAUUCAGACAUGGUUUACAAUUCACCCGACUAGCAAAUAAAAGUGAUUCGUUAUGACAAUGUUGUUUUCAUUAUGGCACUCAACACUUCUCUGUGGAUUGUGUUGAAUUUUUUUAAUGAAAUUUUUUUAGGUUAAGUUUGCGUGUACGUUUUAGCUAUGAGUAUUUCAAAAAGAAAGAGUGCCUUUAUAUUUCUACUGUGUGUUUGAAUUGAAACUUGAAUAAAUUAAUAUUCUCACUGAUGAUCUACGUGUUUCUAUAUUGUUGAGAUUAUGUUGAUUUUGUUUAGUUGAGUUAUUUAAUUGUGUUCAUCGACAUUGCAAUAAGUGAAUAGACUCAAGUGGGUUCAUAAGACAAGUAUAUAUUAUAGGUUGGGUAUUCAUAGACAUGACAAAGCACAAAGUAUUUUUGUUUAUGUUAUGAAUCAUGGAAUCCUAGGGAUAAAGAUCAUAGUGAUCGAUCAGCUAGAAAGAGAGCAUAGGUCUAUUAAUGUGGGAGAUACACAUAGUGACUCAUAGUAGAGUAAACUAGAUUAGAUAAAAGAAGAAUAGAGUACACUGGUGAGGGUUAUUUAUAGGGGUGAGUUAGUCUAACUAACUCCUAACCUACCAACUAACCAUAGUUUACAUAUCAACUAACUAUGGUUUACUCACUAUACUCUAAUAAUCUCAGGGAUAAAGAUCAUAUUGAUCAGCUAGAAAGAGAGCAUAGGUGUAUUAAUGUGGGAGAUACCCAUAGUGACUCAUAGUAGAGUAAACUAGAUUUGAUAAAAGAUGAAUAGAGUACAAUGGUGAGGGUUAUUUAUAGGGGUGAGUUAGUCUAACUAACUCCUAACCUACCAACUAACCAUAGUUUACAUAUCAACUAACAAUGGUUUACUCACUAUACUCUAAUAGUCCCCCUCAAACUCAAAAUGGGAAAAUUCACCAAUUUGAGUUUGAAAAUACAGUGAAAAUACUAUGAUGAACUAUACUGUAGACCAAGUAAACUAGACGGUGAACUAAGUAAAACAAAAACUAAUGGGAAAUGAUGCAGCCCAAUGCAAAAUUAUAAUCUGUCCAUAGCCCAUUUGCAAGGAAUUUCCAGUAGGUACACAUUGCCACUCCCAUUGUGAAAGUUCCAAAACAUCGUAAUGAAGGAGAAACGCCAUGUUGCUAACUGAACGUACUUUACCAAAAUAGCUUGUACCAAACGUGCUUUUCAAAAAUCGCUUUUCCAUAAUCUGUAAAGUGAUUAGUCUUCUGUAAAGAGAAACAAGAUAACGGGAUAAUCCUCUUGUGCAAAACGUGCUUCUUCCAGAAAUAGCUUUUCUGAAUGAAAAAUAACUUAUGCCAAAAGCACUUUUCCAAAAAACAGCUUUUCUAAAAAUCGAAAUUCUGAAACGCACUUUUGUGAUUCUGUGAUUGUCCAAACGCAAGUCUGAACGGAAUCAAAACAACUCAUACCAAACGCGUUCUUCCAAUAAGCACUUCUCCAAAAUCCGAUUUAAAAUAACUUCUUCAAAACGUGCUUAUGUAAAGCUUCUUUAAACUGGAAUGAUGAAUCUGAGAUGAUUGAAACACGAAUUUGCGAUAUCAGAGAACAAUACAAAGCCGCAAACAAGGAAUCUCAGAUCAGAGAGCUAAUUUACGAUGUAGAGAGGAAGAAGGAGACGAACGCCAAAAGGCUCAAAUCUUGUUGUGUCGAGUAUCAGAAAGAACGAUACCUAUGUCGAAAAUGUGCCACCGUGAAUAACCGUUUUCCUUCCUCUAUCCCAAGGUAUCCACCACAAACGGAAGGAACGAUAUCAGAGAACAAUAAAAGCAGAGAACAGUGAAGACAAAUGUGUUCUUCCGCCGGGAUCGAAUUCCACAAUAAACUCGUCAUGUAAUGUGAAAAACAAAAGUUUAUUGUUGUCUGAGGAAACCAGCGGUUCAGUCUGUUUUCCAAUGAACAACCACAAAGCCAAAGGCUUCACGGCGGCGACGCCGUAAACAGAGCUCCUCAAUCUCACCGGUAAAGUUGUGAUGAACUCUUUCGACACUUCAGAAAUAACGAAAUCAGAGUCGCGAUUCUUCAAUUCAGGUUCAAGAACUUCCAAUUUCUCAUCUUCUUGCGAUUCAAUGAACACACAAUCGUCUUCUUUGACGAUGUUGCAGCAAGGAUCGACGAUUACGCAAGAAAUCUCACCAAUCUUGAUGAAAAUCCAUCAAAUUUUGGUUUGAUUGAAAGGUUAGAAACCGGUAUGAUUGGAGAAUCAAAACUGCCGAAAAGGACGCAAUCUUGAGAAGUUGAAGUAUCCUAAAAUGCAGAAGUUGCGAAAACCGCAUCAUCAAAUUCUUCAUCUUCGUGGAAGCGGAAGCAUCAUCAACUUCAUCCCUAGGGUAUCACUCUGAUACCAUGUUAUGAAUCAUGGAAUCCCAUGGAUAAAGAUCACAGUGAUCAGCUGAAAAGAGAGCAUAGGUGUAUUCAUGUGGGAGAUACACAUAGUGACUCAUAGUAGAAUAAUCUAUAUUUGAUAAAAGAUGAAUAGAGUACACGGGUGAGGGUUAUUUAUAGGGGUGAGAUAGUCUAACUAACUCCUAACCUACCAACUAACCAUAGUUUACAUAUCAACUAACUAUGGUUUACUCAUUAUACUCUAAUAAUCCCAGGGAUAAAGAUCAUAGUGAUCAGCUAGAAAGAGAGCAUAGAUGUAUUCAUGUGGGAGAUACUCAUAGUGACCCAUAGUAGAGUAAAUUAGAUUUCAUAAAACAUGAAUAGAGUACAAUGGUGAUAGUUAUUUAUAGUGGUGAAUUAGUAUAACUAACUCCUAACCACCUAACCUACCAACUAACCAUAGUUUACAUAUCAACUAACAAUGGUUUACUCACUAUACUCUAAUAGUUUACGAAAUAACCUACCAACAAAAUUCAACUGAAAUCUAAUCACUAGCUAUGAAAAUGACAAACUUGAUGAAUAAUUUCUUUAUCAACUUCAGCACAAACAUUUUUUUAAGGAAACUUCAGCACAAGCUUUUUCACAUUUAAGUGCAAUAGAAAAGCGGAGAAAUAGACACCUUAGUUCCCAUCUUUGAACGAACUUAAAAACAAAAAAGUCCAUUAUUUUAAGGCUCAAGUUGUCAAAAGUAGUAAGGUAACAAUGACAUUUUAUAGAUUUGAUGAAAUUAAGAGACUUCAUAUAUUUUACAAGAGUCAAAACUCUGUCAAAUUCAAAAGCAUUCGAACACCUAGAAAAAUUCUUAUAAAUUUAGUAUCUUAAAAUUUCUUAAAUGUCGGAAGUUUCUCAUUCUUAAAGUUAGAUUACCACUCUUUGAGAUCUGAAAGUGUAAACACAUACAUAUUUAUUUGUAAACUCUAAGUGUAGAAUUCAUCUUGUUGAGGCAAAAAAGUCUUUGACUUGUGUGUUGGGGCAAUUAUGUGUUGGAGCAACUGUAAUCUUCUGUGAUUAUAGUGAAAAAAAUCUCUUAUAAGUUCAAGGGGACUAGACUAACCUUGGAUUCUGGGGUGAACCAGGAUAAUUUUAUCUCUCUGUACUCUCUCUGAUUAUCUUGCUUUGCUAUGUUUUGUUUAAACACUUUAAAAGAUUUUCAGCAAAAAUCAAUACAAUUCAAACCCCAUUCUUGUGUUUUUAUCAUCUUCAUAUAUUAUUACUGUUAAUGAAAUAGCAUCAAUGUUCGCAAAAAAAAAAACGGAAAACAACUUUAAUGUUGCUGCUAUAAUUAUGUUUAUGAAGUUUCUUUUGAAUAUAGAAAGACGAUCUAAAGGUUGAAUUUUUUUAUGACAUCUUACUGGCAUAUUUAGAACUUUAAAAUACAGUUUUCCACCAAAAAAAUAGAAAUUUUCCACAAAAGUAUGAUUAAUUAUGAAUUUUCAUUCCUUGUAAUUAAGAAUUUUUUAAACAAUUUAUAAUUAAUUCAUUCCUCGUUUAAAAACUCUAAAAUUUUAUGGUGAAGAUUCUUAUGUUGUUAUAACUAUGCAUAAAUAAUCAGGGAACAAAAUUUAACACGUGCCUAUAUGCUUACUCAGAACGAAAUUGUAAUUUUACUCGGAACGAAUUUUCAUUACGAAAUUGUAAUUUUGUCGGUAAAAUUUUGUAAACUCUGAUUGUAAUGCUUACUCAGAACGAAAUUUUGGUGUCAUUAAAAAAAACAUUUAGAUUAUAUUUUUUGUUGUUGUUAUAUUACAUUAUUGUCGGUGUCGUUAAAAUAGAUAAUCAUGGUUAGUGUGAUUUUUUAUAACUUGAAAACAACAAACAUUUAUAUUUUUUUAGUUUUAAUCAAAAUCAAAAUUUCAUAAAAAGAAAUUUGAUGGGUGUUACUUUGUAAUUUUCUUCUAUCACUCUCCGUUGUGGUUUUUGUAUUGGGAUAAUACUCUAAACUUCGUAUUUUGGUGGGUGGUUCUCUUUUGCACGUUUUGUGUGAGAUGAAUCACCUUGUGUGAUCUACAUAUUCCAUUUUGAUUUGUUCAAAAACAAAAUUCAUAAAAAGAACACCGUUCAUAAUAUUCAAAUGUUAGCGCAAUAAAAAGAGCGGAAAGACGAGCACAUGAGUGCCAAUCUUUUCGCUAGUAUAUAUAAAGAAAACUACCUCUUUCAGCACUUUUGGGUUGGAUUUUUCUAUUCAAAAAUACCCUUAAUUUUCAAUACAAAUAACACAUGUAACAAAUAGAUAAGAAUAAAUUUAAAUAUUAAAAAAAUAUAACAAAUACGAUAUGAAUUUAUAAAUGUCCAAUUUUUUCCUUUAUCUUUUAAAAAGUGUAACAAACUGAAUAAGUAUAUUUAUACUAACUUUUUCAUUAUUCCAAUUAUACCCUUAAACAAUUUUUUUCUAUAAUAAAGAUUGUUGUUAGUGUCAUUAAAAAAAUAAUUUAGUUUAGUUUAGUUUGUUAUAACUUGAAAACAAUAAACAUUUAUAUUUUAAUUUUAAUCAAAAUCAAAAUUUAAUAAAAAAAUCACCGUUCAUAAUUUUCAAAACUUACCGCAAUAAAAAGAGCGGAAGUGUCCGUCUUUUCGCUAAUAUAUAUAUAUAUAGAGAGAGCGCAAUUGUGCUUGUUUUCGCUAAUGAAGUAAGGCAACAAUACCAUAUAUUUAAAUCACAUUCAUCUCAAAUUUUUAUGUGUAUCUUGUAACACUCUGUUUUCACGUUUCAUGUAUGUAGUUGCUGCACACUCUUGUUUAUUUGUUUUAAGUAUUUUAGAAAUGCCCAUAGAUAGUAAAACCCAUGGGGAAAGUUUCUCUCGGAAAAACAUGAACCUGAAUCGUAUUUUACAGUUGAUUAGAUGUGCAUUAGAUUUUUUUUUUUUUAUUUUUUUUUAAUUUUUUUUAUGAAACUAUAAGAGUGUGCUUGGAUGGGAGAAUAUUUUGAGGUAAUGUAAUGUUUUGAGGGGAUUCAAUUAUUUUGAGGUGGAUUCAAACAAUAGAAUUCAUCUCAAAGUAGUUAAAUUCCUUCAAAACAUUACAUUCCCUCAAAACAUUUCCCCAUCCAAACAUACCCUAAUGAAAUAUAUUAACCAAGGUUCUUAGCAUUUCCCGCACAAGGAGUGCCAGAAGAGGAUUAAGAGAGAAAAUUAUUUGUACAUCAGAAAAACAAAAAAAAAAAAAAAUCAAAGCGAUACAACCACAUAACUGACACACUAAAACACAAAGAAUGAAGCUAAAUAUUAAGUCCCAAACACAUAAGGAGAUUAAGCUACCACAUAUGGUAGUUAAAAGCAAAAUUAAGGUGAUUUGCUUUUAACCACCACAAGGAUUGAAGCUUAAAUUUAUCUAGAAGAAGUUGAAAAGGAUCCCCUUUUUGUUGAAAAGCUCUAGCAUUUAUGUCUCGUAAAAUAGUCCAAACACAAGAGAACCAAAUCAAACGAAAAGCAUGACAACUGUUUCUUGAGAAACCACCUAACGAUCGAAAUUGAAGUAAGUGGUCCUUAACAUGAGUUGGCUUGACUGAAACCCAACCCAGCUAAUUGUAAAUAUCUAAUCAUAUUUUACCAAAAUAGUCGCAAGUCAAAAUCUCAUGAUCAAUAUUCUCUUCAGAGCCGCAAUCACCCGAGCAAAAAUGAUUAUUCGGUUGAAACACCCUUCUCCUGAUUAAGUAUAUGUUGUUGGAAGACGGUUACGCAAUAAGCGUCAAGCAUAAAUGUUGAAUUUUAAAAGGACCUCUUUGUGCCAAAUGGUUUUUGGUUGAUCGUUGUCUAAAUGUUGAUCUCGAUCCCUUGCUGUUAAAUAGUUGUAAACACUAGUAACAUUGUAUCUUGAAGAGGCAUGAAAUUGCCAAAUCCACAUAUUAUUCACAUCAGCAUGCAAAGCAGUGGGUGAUAAAAGCACACAACACUCGCUCUCUAGUUCCUCCUCCCAAGACAACAAUCUCCACUAUCAUUUCCAAGCCACACCACCCUCCCCCAACCUAUUCUUCAUAAAACAACCUACUUAUUCAGCAAGGUCAAAAAUGCGACUGAAUCUAUUCUUCAAUCCUCCCUCCAUCCAAGUAUCCCACCAAAACAAAGUACAUAUUCCAUCUCCCACGUAAUGUCGUAAGUAAUCGAUAAACAACCUACUUACCCCCUCUGCGCCACCCUUAAUACUAAUCAAAUUUUCCACCACACUGAAGCUACUUUUCCUCCAUCACUGAUAGUUCCACUUUCCUCACCAUACCUCGUUGUUGAGAUUCGAUACCACAAACAACCUUUUUUUCUCGCUCAACCUCCAACACCACUUAGUGAGUAAAGACAAAUUAAUCUAUCUAAUCCUUCUGACCCUCAGACCUCCAUCCUCCAUUUUUAAGAAAUAAUAUCUCAAUUCAUCCAAGAUAUUUUCCUAGAAUCCUCACUCCCCAACCCCCCAAAAAAAUCAAUUAAAAAUAUAUUAAGGAGAAUAAAUCAUACAUGCGGGAGCAUUGAAUAAGAAAAUAAAAUAGACAAGUAGAGAUGACAUAAUAGACUUCAAAAGAACCAAACAGCCACCCAAAGUUAAAUAUCUACUCUUCCACCCAAUAGUUUAUAAUUAACUCACUCAAACAAGGGAUUCCAAAAGUUAAAUUUAUGGGACUCACCACCAAUAGGGAGACCCAAAUAAAAGAAAGGUACACGACUAGUUUUAUAAUUUAACACUAUUGAAGCCUCAGUGAACCAGGUAUCUGACACAUUAAUCCAACAAGCACGCUUUUAUGAAAUCUGACCUUGAGGCCUGAAGUCACUUCAAAAAAUAUGAGCAAAGCCUUUAAAGAUCGGAUAUUUGCCAAAUUUUUAUUUCCUACUAGUAAAGUGUCAUCGACAAACUGCAAGUGAGAAAUAAUAACAUUGUAUGUCUGGCCAACCUUGUAACUUAAGAAUAAACCAGCACGAAGUAAAGCAUUCAUCAUAAAAUUAAGGCCUUCCACCACAAUUAAUAAGAGAAACAGAGAAAGUAGGUCACCUUAGCGCAUACCUCGUUCUAGCUGUAACUCGUUUGUUGGCAGUCGCUCACUAGCACAAAUGCAGACAUUGUAGUUACACACUCCAUGAUCCAUUUGCACCAUAAAACAGGGAAAUUCAGUUUGGUCAUAAGAUCAUUAACGUAACGUGAAUCAACAAAAUCAAAAGCCUUCUCAAAAUCGACUUAAAAAGGAUAAACUUGUUUUUCAAGCGGCAAGCACCGUCUACAUUCUUGUUUGCAAUUAAAAUACCGUCUAGAAUUUGUUUGCCAUGAACAAAAGCUGGAUGAGACUUUUAAAUGAUGCUUUUGAUGGCACAACGCAAUCUAUUAGAUAGCACCUUAGCCAAAACUUUAUACAUACACCCGAUCAAAGAGAUCGGUCUGAAGUUUGACAAACGUUAAGGGUUUUCCAUCUUAGGAAUAAGAGCGAUAAAAGUACUAUUUAUUCCUUUAGAUAACUUCUCAUUCCAAUGAAAUUUAGAGAUGAAGCACAUAAUAUCAUCUUUAAGCUCAACCCAAAAAUCCUUAAUGAAGCCAAAAUUAAUUUCAUCAGCCCCCAGACUCUUAACUAUCGCAGUCCCACAAUGCCUGCUUCAGCUCUUCAAUGCAAAAUGGUUUUGUUAAAAGUCCACCUUGGUCCAGAUUGAGAGUUUUGUAAGUAAGAUUUUCCACAAUAGGCCUGUCCAAGUUUGUAUCGUGAAAGUGAUUAUCAAAAUGAUUAAAGAUUGCACUUCUGAUAUCAGUCACUCCCCCGAUUUGCAGCCCAUUAACUGAGAGAGAGACAAUUGAGUUUGAUAUUCUUCUAGAUGACAUAAUACCAUAAAAGAAUUUGGAGUUAGCAUCACCUUCUUUUUGCCAACUAAUUUUAGAUUUUUCAUUGCAUGCUUGUAUUGAGCUUAGACAAAGAGAGCAAAUUUUCCGAAUAUGAGUGAAGUUCCUUAACCUCUUUUGCCUCAAGAAUAAAAUCUUUACCUUUAGAAUCAAGUAUUUAUAUGCUUAUGUGAAUAUCAUUGAUUCUAGCAUCUAAAUUUUGAGUAUGAUUUUAAUGCCAAACUUUGUGACUACCUUUGAUCAGUUUUAAUUUUUCCUUAAGCACAUACUCUCCCCAACCUGACACUUGCAAAGAAUGCCACUUGUCUUGGACAAAAAGAUGAUAAACUGGAAGAUCACCCCAACAUUUUAACAUACGUUGCAGUCCAGAUCUAUACUUCUAACAAAUCAAACGGAUCAGAACGGACUUAUCAAGCAUCCAAACGCCAAGGAGUUUGCUCAAAAGGGAUUUUGCUCAAUUCCCUUGGGUAUCUAAAGGAGAAUCUGCAUGGUAACAGAGGGAGGAAGUACGGUACUUAAAUUCUAGAAACAGUAAAAGCAAAGAUCCUUUUUUCAUUAAUUUUACUUAUUUUGUACAUUGAGUAAAGUGGUGGACAUAUAGUUUGUUAUGAGGACAAAAUACUUUUAGUAGUCAAGAUUAGGAAUACAAUUCAAUUAAAGUGAGCUGUAAGAUUUAUUUUAAGCAAGCAUAUUUACUUAUCUUGUUCAUUAGGUAAAGUUUCAAGAGCAUGAAAAUUUAAAGCACUACACUGAGCCCAUCUAUAUGUAAUACGCAUUUUGAUUUAUGUUUUCGUUAAGUUUGAAAGAUCAAUAUCCCUCAACCAUUACAUUGUGUUGUGAAUCCGAUUAAAACUCACAUCAAUGUAAACAAAGAUGUGUGGAGCAAAAGGGAGUGGUAAUCUAUGAGUAAAGUGUCUCCAAGCAACAACAACAAAAACAGCCCUAGUCUAGUGUAGAGCAACACCACAAGAGAAUACAAAGCAAACAAGAUAAGCAAGAAAGGAAGAACAAACACACCAAAAAGAUUGUUGACCCAGUUCAGCCAAUAUGGCCUAAUCUGGGGGAGAGAGCAGCUCUCCAAUCCACUAUAAUGAAAGUGUUACAAAGGGUUACAAGAAAAAUAGCUUGCAAGCUUACACAAGAACAAGACCUAGAUUCUACCCAUUUGUGUUUCCCCACUCUCACAAUAUGAACCCUAAAAGAGAAGACACUAGAGGAAGCUUUAGAUCCUUCCAAUGGUGAAAUCUCACUACCCAAGGUGUUUACAAUGUUUUUCCCAACCCAAGAGAUCCUCUCUACAAAGACACUCAACCCUAGAGUUCCCUCCUUUGUAAUCCAAGUUUCUCUCUCUAAGCUCUUCCAAGCUCUCCUUCAAAAUAGCACAAGAACACAAUAUAUACUAGUCUCCUUCUGAAGCAAUCGUGUCACGAUUUGCGUCCGUUCCAAGGCAUGACCAGUCCUUAUCAGUGAUACUUAAUGAGCAAGUUUCUGAAUCGUGUCACGAUUUCCCAAGAUCGUGUCACGAUUUGGCGUCCUGCAAACUAGCUCACGGCACCUCGAAAUCGUGUCACGAUGCCAAAAUCGUGUCACGAUUUCUCUGUUCUUCCAGACCACAAAUUUGAAGCCAAUAUCAACAUUUCUCCACCUUGACUUCUAAUUUGGUGGUGAUGUCAGUUUAACCAUCAACCACCAUGCUGCUCUCUCCAAAAGGGAAUUACUCUUCGACAAAUUUGAUCAAGUCCAAGCAAUGCUUGAAUCUUGAUCUAGGCAAUGACUUGGUGAACACAUCCGCCGGAUUCUCCUCCGAUGCCACUUUCUCAACCACAAUCUCUUUUGAUUCAAUCAUGUCUCUAACAAAGUGCAGGCGAAUGUCAAUGUGCUUUGUCCUUUCAUGAUACACUUGAUGAUUUGCCAAGUGAAUGGCACUUUGACUAUCACAAUGUAUCUUCACACAUUCUUGAGUAAUUCCUAACUCACCAAUCAUCCCUUUCAACCAUAUGGCCUCCUUCACACCUUCAACAAGUGCGAUGUACUCCGCUUGAGUUGUAGAUAAUGCCACCACGGAUUGUUGAUUUGCCUUCCAACUAAUAGCCGUGCCAUAAAGAGUAAACACAAAACCCGACAAGGAUUUUCUAGUGUCCACGUUGCCCGCAUAAUCCGCAUCAACAUACCCCUCCAAAGCGUCUUCAUCUUGAGCUGCCCUUGUGUACUUCAAACCGCCCUUCAACGACCCAUUCAAAUACCUCAAAACCCACUUCAAAGCUUGCCAAUGCACAAUUCCCGGAUUUGCCAUAAACCGACUCACAAUGCUAACCGCAUAAGCCAAGUCCGGCCUACUACAAACCAUUCCAUACAUGAUGCUUCCAACCCCACUUGCAUAGGGAGUACCUUCCAUCAAUUGCUUCUCAUCCUCGGAUUGAGGACAUUGUUGUAUGGACAACUUUGUGUGGUGACCCAAGGGAGUGCUCACGGUUUUAGAGUUUGACAUUCUAAACCGCUCCACCACCUUCUUCAAAUAACCAAGUUGAGAUAAGAAAAGUUCGCCUUUGUCACGAUUCCUCUUGAUAUCAAUCCCAAGAACUCUCUUUGCCGGACCAAGAUCUUUCAUCUCAAAUUCACCAUUUAACCUCUCCUUGAGCUUCAUAAUCUCAUCCUUGCUAGAGCUCGCCAUCAAGAUAUCAUCCACAUAUAAAAGAAGAUAGAGAAUGACUUUCUCACUCUUCUUCAACAUGUACACACAAGAAUCAUAUCCGCUUCUCACAAAACCGGUCUUCAAAAGAAACUCAUCAAACCGACGAUACCAUUGCCUAGGGCUUUGCUUCAACCCAUACAAAGAUUUCUUCAAAAGACACACCUUAGACUUGUCCUCCACAAAACCUUCCGGUUGCUCCAUGUAGAUUGUCUCUUCAAGGUCACCAUGUAAGAAAGCGGUCUUCACAUCCAUUUGUUCCAACUCAAGAUUGAAUUGAUUCACGAUAGUCAUAAGUAUCCUUAUGGAACAAUGUUUCACCACCGGUGAAAAGAUCUCGUUGUAGUCGAUCCCCUCCACUUAAAUGAAACCCUUAGCCACAAGUCUUGCUUUGUACCUUGGACCUUCAACACUCGGAAUACCUUCCUUUUUCUUGAAGAUCCACUUGCAUCCAACUACCCUUUGGUGAUUAGGUAGCUUCACAAGUUUUGAAGUUUGGUUCCUUACCAAUGAAUCAAUCUCUUCAUUCACCGCCUUCAACCAAUAAUUGCUCUCUUUGCUCUCAAAUGCCUCCUUGAAGUUUCUAGGCUCCAAGUCAUGCACAUCUUCAGCCGCAUUUAGAGAAAAACACACCAAGUCCGCAUAACCAUAUCUCCUAGGAGCCGUAAUGGUCCUUCUUUCUCUAUCUCUAGCCAAGAGAUAAUCCGGAUUCACUACCGGUUGAGUUUCAUUUGUAUCGAUGUUGAAGCUUCAUCUUCUACAUCUUCUUCUUCUUCAUUUGGAAGCUCCACCUCAAACUGAGUUUUCUCCACCAUUUUCCGGUACUAAAGUCUCUAGGUCUUUACACAUCAUCCCCAUACGGGUCUCAUCGAAGGUAACAUCCCUACUAAUCAAGACUUUUGAUCCUCCAAUAGAUUCCAAUUUCCACAACUUGUACCCCUUCACACCUUCCGGAUAACCAAUGAAGACACAUGAUGUAGUAUUUUUGCAUCAAACAAUUGUAAGUAUUUAUAUCGUCUCCUCAGGGACAAGUGCGAUAUCGCGGACCGUUCAACACCAUCAUUCUAAGUUAAACGAUAAUUUGUUGUUUGUUUUAGUAACUAAAUUGCAAAUGAUAAAAUUGAGAUUAAUAGGGCGUGAAACUUGUUAGGAUUAGAGUUCCUUGAUCAAGCAUCACACAUAACCUAAUGAACAAACAUGGAUUCUAGCUUUUCAUUGAUAUUAUCACGUAUCCCUCGACAACACUAUUCGUGUCCAAACAAUAUUGUGAAAUCAAUUAUAUCAUUCAAUCGUCGAUGUCUCAAACUAUUGAAUGAUUCAAGAGUCGAUCUUAUCGUACAAUCGAUGAUUUCUAAAUCUAUUGAAUGAUAAGAAAGCUUUAGGUUUGGAUACACAAAGUGAUUAUCAAAACAUCGAUUCCAUGUCUAGAACCUAUGUUUCGAUAGAUGGUUAUUCUAAACCUAGAUUCAAAAGUAUUUCUCAAUCACAAUUAAAUCAAAGAUAAAGAUUAAAGUGCAAGAAUAACAUCAAUAUCAAAUCAAAUGCUAGAACCAUAUAUUUAUAGAUCAAAAGAUUACAUGUUAAGCUAAGAUCAAGUACCUCUAAUGCCAACAAAGGAGAUUUAGCUACUCAUUGUCAUGGAAGCCUUGCAAGGAUGAAGUGAAAGAGAAAGAUCCAUUACACACUUGUUAUCUCUCAACAAAGUGAUGUAGAAUUCACUUUCUAUCACUCCCACUCUAUAAAGCACAAGCCCUAUCUCUCUCUCUAAGAAUAUUACAAGUGAAAAGUAUGAAAAACUCAGAGAAAACUAAGUAUAUCAAUGAAAUGGUUGAGUGGGCUAUUUAUAGAAUUCUGACUCUGCAUCAACUCGCCUCGCGAGCUCAUUCAUUCGCCAUGGCGAGUUGAGGUUCCUUCGCCAUUGGGUUUGUGCCACGUCAGCUGUGAGAGGCUAAACCGCCCUAGCUCGCCUCGCGAGAAAUGCACUCGCCAUGGCGAGUAAGCUCGCCUUCCACUAGCCAUUGCGAGUUGGUGGCGUGUAAUCUUUGUUGCAUUCUGGAAUUGCUCGCCUUUGAAGCUCGCCAUGGCGAGUUGGAGGCGAGUGAUCUUCAUUUUUCAGCCUCUUUGUACUUUUCUUCAUUUUCUUCUCUUUGCUUGAUGUCUUGAGUUCAAAUCCUACACAAAUGGGUGAAGUAAGAUAGAUAAAGCGUAAAAGGGCAAUAAUCACUUAUUUCUCGGCUUUUCCCUCAAUAACUUGCAAAACAAGUCACAAAAGUGCCUAAAAUAUAUCAUUUAAAAUACAACUUUCUAGCACUUAUCAACACAUUUCAAAGCUCUAGGCUCAAGCUUGUCUUGCUUGAUAUGCGCAUAUGCCAAAGCUCCGAAAACCUUCAAAGAGGAGUAAUCAGCCGGUUUCCCACUCCAUACCUCCAUAGGUGUCUUGAAGUCUAUACCCGUUGAUGGACAUCUAUUGAUCAAAUAAGCAGCCGUUGUCACAGCUUCACCCCAGAAACUCUUAGGUAACCUAGCUCCUAGAAUCAUGCAUCUCACACGCUCCAAAAGAGUCCUAUUCAUGCGUUCAGCAAGACCAUUUUGUUGCGGUGUUUUCGGUACGGUCCUAUGCCUCUUGAUUCCUUUAAACCUGCAAAACUCAUUAAAUUGCUCUGAAACAAACUCCAAGCCAUUGUCAGAUCUUAAACCUUUUAGUUUAGUUCCCAUUUGAUUUUCUAUGAGAGUGUGCCAUUCCUUAAACUUUUCAAAUGUGUCACUUUUGUUUUUCAAAACAAAGACCCACACUCUCCUAGAAUAAUCAUCAAUGAUAGAAAGAAAAUAGGAACCUCCCACAUAAGUAGGAGUCUUGGAAGGACCCCAAAGAUCCGAAUGCACAUACUCAAAAGGCCUACUAGAAUGAUGCAUGCCACUACCAAACUUCACUAUAUGUUGCUUGCCUAGUAUGCAUUGCUCACAAAAUUCUAGCUUGUCCAAUUUAUCUUUCCCUAGCAAAUCUUGUUUAGCUAGUUCAACUAAAUCUCUUUCACUAACAUGCCCCAACCUCAAAUGCCACAAUUCAGAAUUAUUAUGAGAUGCAACAUUAGCUACCGAUGCAUUACCAAUUACUAUGGAACCAUCUAAAAUGUAUAAACCAUUCAUUUUAGACCCCUCAACCGUAAUCAAUGCACCAUGCGAAAUUUUACAAACCCCAUGCUCAAUUCUAGUGCAAUAACCUAGACUAUCAAACAUGCUUAGGGAAAUUAAAUUUCGCUUAAGUUCGGGAACAAACCUCACAUCCCUUAAAAGGAAUUCACGGCCAUCAAACAUCUUUAGACGAACGUUGCCCAUGCCUUGGACUUUGCAAGCUUUGUUAUUUCCGAGUCGAACAACUCCUCCUUCUUUUAGAGUCAAAGUCUCAAAAUAUUCCUUUCUAGGACACAUGUGGUAAGAGCAUCCCGAGUCCAAAACCCAACUCUUCUCCAGUUCCCAACUUGUAACCACUAGUGCACCCGCACUCUCAUAACCUUCUUCAUUUGAAGCCUCCGCAACUUGGACCGAAGGACUACCAUCGCCGCCCUUAUCCGGACAAUCCUUCUUGAAAUGACCUUGCUUGUGACAAAGAAAGCAUUUAUACUUUGAUUUGUCAAAGCCCUUGGACCUCGACUUCCCCUUGCCUUUUCCUCUAUGCUCAUUCCUCUCUCUUGCAACAUUCAAGCCUUCACUACCUUCAUCAACCUUCAAGUCCUUGAACUUGGUCAAUUCCUUGGUUCUCAAAGCCGCUUGGACCUCCUCCAAAGUAGUAGUGCCCUCCUUACCAUAAAUGAUGGUAUCCUUAAAAUGCUCAAAAGACUUUGGUAAUGAACAAAGUAACAACAAAGCCUUAUCCUCAUCUUCCAUGUUAACUUCAAUGUUGACCAAAUCAUCAAGAAUCUUGCUAAAUUCCGUCAAUAGCUCCGAGAUUGAUUUAGACUCCACCAUCUUGAAUGAAUAAAGUUGUUGUUUCAAGAGUUGCUUAUGAGCUAAAGAUUUCGUCAUGUACAAUAACUCCAACUUAGCCCACAUCGAUGUCGCGGUAGCUUCUCUCGCGACAUCCCUUAAGACCUUAUCUCCGAGACAUAAAACAAUAGCACUCUUUGCCUUGUCUAUCAUCUCCUACUUCUCUUCUUGUGUCAAAGUUGCCGGCAUAGCCGCUUCACCCUUCAAUGCUUCUACACACUUUUUAUGUGUCAAAACCGCUUGCAUCUUAAUCUUCCACAACCCGAAAUCAUUACUUCCGGUGAACUUCUCGAUGUCCCACUUUGAACCCAUGAUACGAACUACCAAUAACGCCUAUGCCCCAUGGUGGGCGCCAAUUGUUGUGAAUCCGGUUAAAACUCACACCAAUGUAAACAAAGAUGUGUGGAGCAAAAGGGAGUGGUAAUCUAUGAGUAAAGUGUCUCCAAGCAACAACAACAAAAACAGCCCUAGUCUAGUGUAGAGCAACACCACAAGAGAAUACAAAACAAACAAGAUAAGCAAGAAAGGAAGAACAAACACACCAAAAAGAUUGUUGACCCAGUUCAGCCAAUAUGGCCUAAUCUAGGGAAGAGAGCAGCUCUCCAAUCCACUAUGAUGAAAGUGUUAAAAAGGGUUACAAGAAAAAUAGCUUGCAAGCUUACACAAGAACAAGACCUAGAUUCUACCCAUUUGUGUUUCCCCACUCUCACAAUAUGAACCCUAAAAGAGAAGACACUAGAGGAAGAUUUAGAUCCUUCCAAUGGUGAAAUCUCACUACCCAAGGUGUUUACAAUGUUUUUCCCAACCCAAGAGAUCCUCUCUACAAAGACACUCAACCCUAGAGUUUCCUCCUUUGUAAUCUAAGUUUCUCUCUCUAAGCUCUUCCAAGCUCUUCCCCAAAAUCUGCACAAGAACACUUAAAUACUAGCCUUCCUCUGAUAAAAUCGUGUCACGAUUUCCAGAUCGUGGCACGAUUUGAACGUACGUCCCAAGGUAUGACCAGUUCUUAUCAAGGAUACUUAACGAGCAAGUUUGAAAAUCGUGUCACGAUUUUCCAAGAUCGUGUCACGAUUUGGCACCCUGCAAACCAGCUCACGGCAUCACGAAAUCGUGUCACGAUGCCAAAUUUGUGUCACGAUUUCUCUGUUCUUCCAAACCACAAAUUUGAAGCCAAAUGUCAACACAUUGAAUGAAUGAUGUCAUCCCAAACUACCCUUGAAGAAAAUAUUGUGGAGCUACAUAGGUACAUAGAUAUAGAUCAAACACCCCAAAAUUCACGACCAAAGAUACAAAGGGUGCCACAGUAUCUCAGAAAUAGAACAAAAUUUGAGGAGCAUUACACCCCCAAGUUGGUGUCAAUAGGUCCUAUCCAUCAUGACAAUCCAAAGCUGAAGAUAGGAGAGAAAUACAAGCUUAUGUGGGCAGCAAAAUACAUCAAAAACACGGGAAGAAUUAAGAAGGAUCUACACAAAAAGAUUGUAGAUAACAUUGAUGAACUGAAGGGUCAUUUUAGCGACGACGUUUUAACUUUGACCGGCAAGUCUCUUAAAGGCUUCCGUAGCCUUGAAGAAAAGUUGUCGUGGAUAUUGUUCGUGGAUAUAUGGAUGUUCUUUGCUGCAUAUCUUAGAGAAAGCCAAGCUUCAUGAACCAGGGCAGAUGAAUAUUAAGGUUGAUAAACUGGUUCUUGUGAUGAUGGAUGUGCUUUUGUUGGAGAAUCAACUCCCUUACAUAGUACUCAAACUAUUAUUGAAAGAUAACAAUGAGAAUGAAUUGAUAAAUACCAUGAAAAAUUUCCUCAAAUGUCAUCAUUGGACCACACCAGAUAAUAAGAGGAACCGGAGGUGGCGAGACAUUCAAAAGAUUAGCAAUAUGGUUGGACAGUAAAGGAAAAGAACAACAUAGUACCGUAUUGAUUACGAAUGAGUUGGAGACAUCAUCAAAGAAGGAGAAGGAAAUGGUUUCAAAAGGAAAAGGAGAAGGAGAACACAGUGUAUCAAUACCAUUACCAAGUGAGUCCCAAUCAGAGACACCCACUCAUCUUUUUGAUCUUCAGCGUAAACUCAUCCUCAAUCCAUCUAAUUCCAAGGUACGAAAGAAAUUAGAGACAAAAGUAAAAUUUGUUACUAAAUUUUUGUCUUAUUAAAACUUAACGACAAAAUUAGAAACAGAUUUUGCCUUUUUCCGUUUCUAAAUUUGCUACCAUUAUUAUAAUUACAGAGUGGAGGUGCAAAAUGUAAUAUAUAUUAUUGUAAGAGGAAAUCAAUUUUUAAAUUUUAUUGUUCUGAUCCAAUCCAUUUUCGAUUAAAACAUAGAUUAGAGAAUAUGAAGCUUCCAAAGAGAAAUGGUCUAAGAGUCCAAAUGAAAGCAUCUCGAUUAUGACAUACAGGAGCAUACAAGAUCUAAGAAAAGUAGGAAUAAGACUUAAGUCAAGCAUGACUCGAAGUCCAAGAGACUUGGAUUUCUCUGAAGGAUGGUUGAUUGCAAAGCUAACUCUACCUGAGAUCGUUGUGGACGACUCAUCAGCUACUACUUAUCUCAACCUGAUAGCAUAUGAGAUGUGUCCAGAUUUUAAGAACAACUACAGAAUUUGUUCUUUUGCAGCUUUCAUGGACUCACUCAUCGACCAUCCUGAAGUUGUGAAGCUAUUGAGAUCAAAAGAGAUUUUGCUCAAUUCCCUUGGGAGCGAUGAGGAAAUUGCCGAUCUUUUCAAAAUCAUAGGUACCGACUUGAUACCUAAUACAGAAACAUAUUUCAGAGUUAGAGCCAAAAUAGAUUAUCAUUACCGUAAUAAAUGCAAGACUUGGAUAGUGCUGGGUUAUUAUACAUACUUCAGCAUUGCUGCAUUUAUCGCCCUUGCUCUUACUUUCAUUCAGACAGUGUUUGCAAUUCACCCGGCUAGCAAUAACGGUUGUUAGUUAUGACAAAGUUGUUUUCGUUAUGGCACUUCUAUAUGGAUUGUGUUGAAUUUUUUUAAUAAAUUUUUGGGUGAAGUUGGCGUGUACCUUCUUUAGUCUUGACUAUGUGUAUUUAUAAAAUGAAGAGUGUCUUUUUGAUUGUGCUGUGUAUAAGAAUUGAAACAUGAAUUUUCAUAUUUCAAGUUAAUUUAUUCAAAUUAUUAUUCUCAUAAACGAUCUACGUGUUUCUAUACUGUUGAGAUUUUGUUGAUUUUGUUUAGAUGAGUUAUUUAAUUUUGUGUUCAUUGACAUUUCAAUAAGUGAAUAGAUCGAAUGAGCUAAUAAAACAAGUAUAUUAAGAGUAUUAGUAGACAUGGGAACAAACAAAGUAUUGGUUACGAAACAACCUGACAACAAAAUUCAACUUAAAUCUAUUCACUAGUUAUGAAAAUGACAAACUUGAUGAAUCAUUUCUUCAUCAACUUCAGCACAAGCUUCUUCACUUAGUUUUUUCUGUCUUUUCAUCGGUCACAGAAGAAAAAUGAUUCUAUAAUUCUAGACUAACAUAUAUACCUCUCAUGGAAAAUUGUACAAAUAAUUCAUGAAUUCAAGAAUUGAUUUAUUUAUCAAAAUUAUUUAAAUUCAUGUAGAUAGUAAAACCGAUGGAAAAGGUUUCUCUUAGGAAAAGAUGAACCUGAAUCUAUUAGGUAAUUAACUAGAGUUGAUAUAGAUGUGUUAUAGUUCUUUUUCAUGAUGUUUUGUACGUUAGUCUACUAAGUGUUAUGAUAUGAUCGAAUAAGAGGAAAGCUAAAUAUUAUGAUGGAAUUUUCAACCAAUGGCAAGAAGGUGGUGGUGGUGGGUAUGUUGCUGUUGCUAUAGCAAAAACUUCGUAGGAAUUUCGAUUUCAAAAGCUGCAUCAUUCAAUUGAAACAUAAAAAAUAUUAAGAUAUGCGUCUAUAGAUUAAAUUUAAUAAAAAAAUCAUGAUUAAAGUAUAUAAGUUCUAGACUGCGUUGAGAGAAGGCGGUAGCUCUGUUAGGGUUUCUCCUUCGGGUGUAAUUUGCAGUUUUCUUGUGUGCAUCAUUCAUCUUUUUAGGUGGUAUCCAUAAACUAUCUUAAAUCUACUAAUAAAUUGCUCAUUUUCAUUGGUUAAUAAGUAAAUUACCCAUCAUUUUUUCAAAGGUAAUCUAAAAAAAACCUCAAUAAAGUGCUCUUUGUUGAAAAGGGAAUUCCAAUAGAAAGUCAAAAUUGGAAAUCACUAAUUCUUUGGUCAAAAUUAGAUGUGUGUGCUGGAAUUUCAAUUCUGGUAAUCUAGUGCUUUAAGAUAAAAAAAUGAAAUAUACUAUUGCUUUCAAUUUGCGGUUACGUGUUUACUUUACUACUCUACGAAUAGUUUCAAUUGAUUAUGAAAAUUGCAACACAUAUGCAAAGGCUUAGAAAUACGAGUAAAUUAUAUAAAUAUCCUUUACUAGUUAACUGUCGAUGGUUGCAGAACCUCUCUCAUCCAUUAUUCAUCUCAUCUUACAAAUUUUUUUUUUAAAUCUCUUUAAAAAAUCCAACCAAAUUAAUUCAACAAAAUCACAAGUAAGUAAUUAUAAUGCUAUUAACUUACAUUUUAGUUGUUAUAAAUGUUUUUAUUUUUUUGUUUUUGAGUAGAUUAACAUGUUAUAAUUCAUUUUUAGAGUAGAUGUUAUUUGAUUAAUGUUGUUAUAAUGUUUGCAAGAUGUUUAUGUUAUAAUUUAGAAUUUUAGGGUUUUUUUAUUUUAUUUUGGUGUUUUAUAUUUAUUUUUUUAUUUUAGUUUUUUAGUAUAUUUACAUGUAAGAGUAUAUGAUUUAUUUUAAGAGUAGAUAUUAGUUGAAUAAUUUUCCAAUACUUUUUGCAUUUUUAUGUUUUUUUUUAGAGUAUCGGUUUUUUUUUUUUCUUAUGAUUUUCAAGGUUUAUGUAUAAUUUGCACAUCAAGUGUUUGAUGAAAUGUUUGAAUGAGUUUUUCAUUGAUUGUUUUUUAUUUCUUAUUGUGUAGAUAUGAAACAAUGGCCGGGUGGAUCGACGUUCAUGCACAAUUCAACGGCGGAGAACCUUAGAGGUUGAAGGUUCGGUGCCUUGGUAUAACGUUAAGAGGUCUCAAGGAUGAACUGACUGAAUUCAACCAAGGAGUCAACCACCUGAGACACAAGGAGGGUGGAACACGUUCAUUAUAAACGUCCAACGCUCGACGAGGGGAGAGUAUCAUUCAGUUGGGAGGAAUUAACGAACGACGAAAAUGUGACGAGCAUGUUAUGGGAUCACAACAUGUUCCAGUGGAUCGAUAUGUGGGUAACGUUGCUGAGAUCAACUGAAGAUAUUAUCAACAGUCUGAUUCCGCCAUAAGAUCAUCAUUAGUUACCGAAUGAAUGAACCUACCAGCUACAACAAUUGUCUUCCUUUGAAUGGGUAAUUCAAACUUGCCAAACAGCAGGACUCCAAUAUUCAACCGACAUUCCCAUUGUUUCUUUCAAGAGAUUCAAUUUUUGUUAGGCCAGUUUAAAUGAAGGUAUUGAACUGUCAAAGAAUGUACCUCAUUCUUUUGACACUUGAAUACCAUAAUUUAAUCCCAACCUAACAAGAAUUUAAUCUUUUGAAUGGAACAAUGAGAAUGUCGGUCGAAUAUUUGAGUCCUGCUGCUUGGCAAGUUUGAAUUUAUCCCAUUCAGAGGUAACACAAUUGUUGUAGUUGGAAGGUACAAACGUUCGGUAUAAACGUCUAAGAGAAUACACCUUCCUACAAUAAUUGUCUUCCUUUGAAUGAGGUAAUUCAAAUUUGUAAAACGGUAGGACUUCAGCAUUCGAUCGACAUUUUAAAUGAUGGUAUUCGGUUUGUUUGAGGAAUCAGGAUAAUCGCUUGUGUCGACUCUCUCUCUUUAAACCCUAAACCCUAGGUUGAUAGGUAAAAAGAUUGGGAUAUAUGUUCUUGAAGGAAGAUAUACACCAACUUAUUUGAGUUGACGUAUAUCUUCCAAAACCUGUAUUCUCGCAAGGUCAAUUGUAUGUUGCAAUAUCAAAAGUUAUAUCAAGGAAUGGUCUGAAAAUUUUAGUACUUCGAAUGUGGUGUAUAAAGAAGUUUUCUGAAAUUUGUAAACAUGAGAAACUUCAAAUAUAAUUGUAUUUAUUAUUAUAACAUUAAAAUUAUAAGUUGGGUAAGUACUAUCUAAUUUUGCUUCUGUCUAUUGCAUUUACAAUGUAUAUGACCCAUGUUGUAUCACGGGUAGACCAUCUAGUUAGGUUUUUAAUCCCAAGGAGUUAAAAGCCAUGCAAGAAGUACCAAAAAAAAAAAAAAAGAAGCAAGAAAUAGAAGGAGAAGCUGCAUGAAACACAUAGUUAAAUUCUAGAACAGUAAAAGCAUUGAAGCAAAGAUCCUUUUUCCAUGAAUUUUACAUUUCUUGUCCAUUGAGUAAAGUGGUAGACAUUAUAUAGUUUGUCCUGAGAGAGGACAUGUAUAAAAAUCGAUUAAAGUGGAAGUGUAAUAUUUUAAGCAAGCAUAUUUACUUAUCUUGUUAAUUAGGUAAAGGUUUGUGAGCAUGGAAAUCUAGAGCACUACACUGAGCCAAUAUUAUAUAAAAGGCGUUUUGAUUUAUAUUCAUUAACCAUUAUUAUAUUGAUUGAAUGAUGGCAUCCCAAACUAUUAAAGAAAAAUUUGUGGAACUACAAAAAUCAAAGCAAACACCCCAAAAUUCACGACCAAAGAUACAAAGGGUGCCACAGUAUCUCAGAAAUAGAAACAAUUUUGAGAAACAUUACACCCCCAAGUUUGUUUCAAUAGGUCCUAUCCAUCAUGACAAUACAAAUAUGAAACCAGGAGAGGAGUAUAAGCUUAUGUGGGCAGCAAAAUACAUAGAAAACAACGGCUUUAUUCUAGAGGAUCGACACAAAAAGAUUGCCGAUAAAAUUAACGAACUAAAGGGUCAUUUUAGCGACGAUGUUUUAACUUUAACUGGCAAGUCUCUUGAAGGCUUUGAUAGCCUUGAAGAAAAGUUGUCGUGGAUGUUGUUCGUGGAUGGAUGUUCGUUGCUGCAUAUCUUGGAGAAAGCCAACGUUGAUGAAGCAGGGCACAUGAAUAUUAAGGUUGAUCAACUGAUGAUGGAUGUGCUUUUGUUGGAAAAUCAACUUCCUUAUCAAGUACUCAAGCUUUUGUGGAAAGACGACAACGAGAGUGAGCAUGAGGAAAUUCCUCAGCCGUUGUUAUUGGGACAAACCAGAUGGGUCACAGUCAGAGAAGGAGAAGGAAGGAGAAGGAGAACAUAGUGUAUCAAUACCAGACGAGUUGCAAUCAGAGAUGGAGGAGGAAGGAGAAGGAGAACAUAGUGUAUCAAUACCAGACGAGUUGCAAUCAGAGAUGGAGGAGGAAGGAGAAGGAGAACAUAGUGUAUCGAUACCUUAACCAAAUGAGUCACAGUCAAAGACACCCACUCAUCUUCUUGAUCUUCUGCAUAAAAUCAUCCUAACUACAUCUAAUUCCAAGGUACAAUAUAGAAAUAACAGUAACAAGUACUAGAAGAAUUGAAAUAACAAUCAAAAUUACAGACAAAACUAUUUGGUUACUAAAUUUUUGUCUUUGAAACUUAGACAAAAUUAGAGAGUUUGCCUUUUUCCGUUUCUAAUUUUUGUCACCAUUUCAACUCUUUGUAUUAGUUUUGAGUCUAUCUAGCAUUUUGAAUUUAUUUUGUCAUCAUAUAAGUACGAUGGAUCAUUCUAUUUCUGAUUAAAACAUAAGACUAAAAGCAAUGAAGCUAACAACAAGAAAUGGAGUCAUACGAAGAAUUUAGAGGCCAACAUGAUGACAUAUAGGAACAUACAAGAUCUAAAAGCAGCAGGAGUAAGAUUUAAGUCAAGCUUCACACGUAGGCCAAAAGACAUUAAUUUCUACGAAGGAUGGCUUACCGCAAAACUAAUUCUUCCUGAGAUCGUUGUGGACGACACUUCAGCCACUACUUUCCUCAACUUGAUAGCAUAUGAGAUGUGUCCUGAUUUUGAGAACGACUAUGGAAUUUGUUCUUUUGCAGCUUUCAUUGACUCACUUAUUGAAGAUCCUGAAGAUGUGAAGGUACUAAGAUCAAAAGGGAUUUUGCUCAAUUCCCUUGGGAGUGAUGAGGAACUCGUCAAUUUUUUCAAAAUCAUAAGUACUGACGUGGUUCCUAACAGAGAAAUAUAUUAUGAAGUUAGACGCAAAAUAAAUGAGCAUUACAGCAACAGCUACAAGACUUGGAUAGCGAUGAGUUUUCACACUUACUUCAGCAUUGCUGCGGUUAUCGCCCUUGCUCUUACUUUCAUUCAGACAUGGUUUACGGUUUACCCGCCUAACAAAUAAAGGUGCUCCGUUAUGAUAAUAUUGUUUUUGCUACGGUACUCUUCACUUCACUGGAUUGUGUUCAGUUUUUCAAAUAAAUUUUUUGGUUAAGUUGGUGUGUACCUUCUUGAAAUGAUUUAUGUGAUUCUAUAUUGUUUUCGCUAUGAGUAUUUUAAAAAUGAAUAGUGCCUUAUUCAAAUUAAUAAUCUCAUUAAUGAUUUAUGUGAUUCUAUAUUGUUGUGAUUAUGUUAAUUUUGUUUAGAUCAAUUAUUUAAUAUUGUGUUCAUCGACGUUACAAUAAUUAUAUCGCAGGUUAUUCAUGGGGCAAAACACAAAGUAUUCGUUACAAAACACAAUAUAUACUCCCUCCGUUCUAAUUUAUAAGCAAAAAACACUAAUUCACACUUAUUAAGAAAACUAAUACUUAGUGACUUGAGAUAUCAUUUUUUGUGUUCUCCUUGGAAUAAGUUUCAUGGAAAGAUGUAAAAAUAAUUCUCAUUGGUUAAAAAUUAUGGAGAAAAUGAAAAGGAGAACAAAUUGAAUGUAAUUUGCAUUUAAUUUUACAUUGGAAAAGGUGAUUUGUUUGAAAAAACAUAAUAAUAGCAUAAAAGUUGGUCCUUUUUGUUUAUAUUUUGAGACAAAGAUUAUGAGAUUUUUUUGCUUAUAUUUUAGGACGGAGGGAGUAUUUAUGAUAAUGUCAGACAUGAUGAAUCAUUUCUUCAACUUCAGCACAAGCUUCGAUUAGUUUUUUUUCUUUUCAUCGGCCAUAGAAGAAAAAUGAUUAUAUAUUCUAGACUCAUAUAUACUUCUCAUGCAAAAUAUUGUAGAAAAAUUCAGUUAGCUUGUGGCGCAAGUCAGUGUAGUGUGUUCCUUCUCCUUAUCUUUGAUCAUUUGUGUUUCCAUAUCUUUUGUGUUAUUCUUCAAUAGUACAAAAAAGGUAGCAAUAUAUAGAUCACAAAUGAUCCAAUAUCUCUACCAAAAAUUCAUCUGAACACAUAAUAAAGAAAGAUGUGGUCAUGACAACAUUGGUAUCCUCAGGUAUACACAAAGACAUUAACUAAAACUUCAUUAACUUUGUACUCAAAAAAAAAAAAACUUGAUUAGCUAACACUUCAUUCCCAUAUCUUCACCACAAAAUCAUUGUUAGACCAUCCCCAAUGGUUUUUACCAUUCAACACCACUUUUUCAAUUUCCAACACUCCACAUCAUUUUCUCUCUCUUAUUCAACACUCAUUCAACAUUUACCCUCUCCAAUGGUUUUUCAUUCAACACUCUACCCCACCAUUUUUUAUUUUUUAUUCUUAUUUAAUUUUUGUUUUUAUAAUUACAUAAAAUUAUCGAUUAUAAUUAAAUUAAAAUAAUACAAUUAACUAUUUAUUUUUUAGUAUUUUUGGAAGAAAAAANNNNNNNNNNNNNNNNNNNNNNNNNNNNNNNNNNNNNNNNNNNNNNNNNNNNNNNNNNNNNNNNNNNNNNNNNNNNNNNNNNNNNNNNNNNNNNNNNNNNNNNNNNNNNNNNNNNNNNNNNNNNNNNNNNNNNNNNNNNNNNNNNNNNNNNNNNNNNNNNNNNNNNNNNNNNNNNNNNNNNNNNNNNNNNNNNNNNNNNNNNNNNNNNNNNNNNNNNNNNNNNNNNNNNNNNNNNNNNNNNNNNNNNNNNNNNNNNNNNNNNNNNNNNNNNNNNNNNNNNNNNNNNNNNNNNNNNNNNNNNNNNNNNNNNNNNNNNNNNNNNNNNNNNNNNNNNNNNNNNNNNNNNNNNNNNNNNNNNNNNNNNNNNNNNNNNNNNNNNNNNNNNNNNNNNNNNNNNNNNNNNNNNNNNNNNNNNNNNNNNNNNNNNNNNNNNNNNNNNNNNNNNNNNNNNNNNNNNNNNNNNNNNNNNNNNNNNNNNNNNNNNNNNNNNNNNNNNNNNNNNNNNNNNNNNNNNNNNNNNNNNNNNNNNNNNNNNNNNNNNNNNNNNNNNNNNNNNNNNNNNNNNNNNNNNNNNNNNNNNNNNNNNNNNNNNNNNNNNNNNNNNNNNNNNNNNNNNNNNNNNNNNNNNNNNNNNNNNNNNNNNNNNNNNNNNNNNNNNNNNNNNNNNNNNNNNNNNNNNNNNNNNNNNNNNNNNNNNNNNNNNNNNNNNNNNNNNNNNNNNNNNNNNNNNNNNNNNNNNNNNNNNNNNNNNNNNNNNNNNNNNNNNNNNNNNNNNNNNNNNNNNNNNNNNNNNNNNNNNNNNNNNNNNNNNNNNNNNNNNNNNNNNNNNNNNNNNNNNNNNNNNNNNNNNNNNNNNNNNNNNNNNNNNNNNNNNNNNNNNNNNNNNNNNNNNNNNNNNNNNNNNNNNNNNNNNNNNNNNNNNNNNNNNNNNNNNNNNNNNNNNNNNNNNNNNNNNNNNNNNNNNNNNNNNNNNNNNNNNNNNNNNNNNNNNNNNNNNNNNNNNNNNNNNNNNNNNNNNNNNNNNNNNNNNNNNNNNNNNNNNNNNNNNNNNNNNNNNNNNNNNNNNNNNNNNNNNNNNNNNNNNNNNNNNNNNNNNNNNNNNNNNNNNNNNNNNNNNNNNNNNNNNNNNNNNNNNNNNNNNNNNNNNNNNNNNNNNNNNNNNNNNNNNNNNNNNNNNNNNNNNNNNNNNNNNNNNNNNNNNNNNNNNNNNNNNNNNNNNNNNNNNNNNNNNNNNNNNNNNNNNNNNNNNNNNNNNNNNNNNNNNNNNNNNNNNNNNNNNNNNNNNNNNNNNNNNNNNNNNNNNNNNNNNNNNNNNNNNNNNNNNNNNNNNNNNNNNNNNNNNNNNNNNNNNNNNNNNNNNNNNNNNNNNNNNNNNNNNNNNNNNNNNNNNNNNNNNNNNNNNNNNNNNNNNNNNNNNNNNNNNNNNNNNNNNNNNNNNNNNNNNNNNNNNNNNNNCUAUUUUUAGGUACAUAAUAUAACAUUAACAUAUAAUUUUUACAAAAGAAUGAAGUAACAUUUUGUAAAAAAAAAAAAAAAAAUGAAGUAACAUACCAAUAAUAUAACAUUGACAUAUAAUUUUAACAAAAGAAUGAAGUAACACACGAUUGAUAAAAAUUAAUAUUUUUAAGGUGAAUAAGUGUGGUGUCUGAGGUUCGAAUUCCAACAUCUGCAUAUAUUUGGGACCACAUAUUUUAUUCUCUUUGAUAUGCAUUGAGAUUUGUUUUUGUCUACUUCAUCUACAGUGUAUAUGACCCGUGUGGUAGCACGGGUGGAAAGUCUAGUAUAUUAAAAUGUAGCCCGUGGAAAAACGUUAAUUAGGAGUACUCAAGCUAUUGUGGAAAGAUGACAACAAGAGUGAAUUGAUAAAAAGCAUGAGGAGUUUUCGCAACCAUCUACACAUCAUACCAGAUGUGUCACAGUCAGCGAAGGAGAAGAAAGGAGAUGGAGAACAUAGUGCAUCAAUAGCAGAUGAGUCACAAUCAGAGACAAUACCCACUCAUCUUCUUGAUCUUCAACGGAAACUCAUCCUCACUACAUCUUAUUCCAAGGUACAAUAGAAUUAACAAUAAAAAGUACUAAAAUAAAUAGAAAUAAAGAAAGAAAUUAGAGACAAAAAUAUUUGGUUACAAAUUUAAGGACAAAAUUAGAAACGGAGUUUGCCUUUUUCUGUUUCUAAAUAUUAUUUCCUUUGCAAAGGAAGUAUAAUUUUGAAUUUUUUUUAGGGUUAAAUAAGUAAAUGGUCCUCCUAAAUAUAUCAACAUUUAACUUUAGCUCCCUUAAAAUAUUCUUUAGACUUUUGGUUCUUCAAAAAAUUUUCAUUUAUGAAAUUAGUCUCUGCUCUACAUUGAGUAUUACAUUAGAACGGGCACUAAUUUCAUAUAGAUUAAAAAUUUUAGAGGGAUCAAAAGCGUAAGGAAUAUUUUAAGGGGGCUAAUAUCAAAUGUUAGUAUAUUUAGGGAGACUAUUUACUUAUUUAACUCCUUCUAUUAUCAUAAGUAAAUGAUCCAAUCCAUUUUUUAUUAAAACAUAGACUAAAAUCGUUGAAGCUACCGAAAUGAUGAAAUGGAGUCUUAAUAUUCUUAAAAGAAUGAAGAUAUGGAGUGGGAAGCUUAAUGAUAAAAUAAAGAAAUGUAUUGGGAAGAAUUCAAAGACAAAUAUCCAAAUGUUGACAUACAGGAACAUACAAGAUCUAAAAGCAGUAGGAAUAAGACUUAAGUCAAGCAUGACACAAAGGCUAAGAGACAUAGAUUUCUGCGGAGGAUGGUUCUCUGCAGAACUGACUCUUCCUAUGAUCAUUGUGUCCAACAGUUCAGCCCAUACGUUCCGCAACCUGAUAGCAUAUGAGAUGUGUCCAGAUUUUGAGAACGAUUAUGGAAUUUGUUCUUUUGUAACUUUCAUGGACUCGCUCAUCGACCAUCCUGAAGACGUGAAGGAAUUGAGAUCAAAAGGGAUUUUGGCCAAAUGCCUUGGCAGUGAUGAGGAUGUUGCCAAUCUUUUCAAUAUCAUAUGUACUGACUUGGUAGCUGACCCGGAAAUAUACUUUGAAGUUAGAUUGAAAAUACAUGAUCAUUACUGUAAUAAAUACAAUACUUGGAUAGCGCAGGGUUUUCAUACUUACUUCAGCAGUCCUUGGGCCAUUAUUGCAUUCACUGCUGCGGUUAUCGCCCUUGUUCUUACUUUCAUUCAGACAUGGUUUACAAUUCAACCGGCUAGCAAAUAAAUGUGAUUCGUUAUGACAAUGUUGUUUUCGUUAUGGAACACAUCACUUCUCUGUGGAUUUUUAAUAGGUUGAGUUUUUUUAUUGAAUAAAUUUUAGGUUAUGUUUUCGUCUACGUCUUGACUAUGAGUACGUAUUUCAAAAAUAAAGAUUGCCAUUUUCUUUGUGUUGUGUGUUUGAAUUGUAACAUGAAUAAAUUAAUAUUCUCAUUGAUGAUCUACGUGUUACUAUAUAUUGGUGCCAUUAUGUUGAUUUUGAUUAGAUGAGUUUUUAAUUUUGUAUUCAUAGACAUCGAAAUAAGUGAAUAGACCAAAUGAGUUAAUAAGACAAGUAUAUAUUAUAGGAAAAUUUGUCAUCUUAGUCCCUGAAUUUGUAAGGAUUUGUCAGAAUAAUCUUUGAAUGCAAAGAAAUUGCAAAACAAUACUUGAAUGUAAACUCUGUUAGUCAAUUUAGUCUCUGGCGUUAAAUAAGUAUGUUAACGAUGACAUGGCCUCUGAUGUGGCAAGAUGGCAACUGAUAGAAAAUUAACAAGUGUACUUAUUUAAAUCGAGUGAUAAAAUAAUUCGUUUCGACAAGGACCAUAUUAAUCUCUACAUAGCGAGAACAUUAACAUCAAGAUAUAUCUAAAUGGGGGUUGCCUUAGGCAAAUUGUUUGAGUGCAAUUGUAAUUAAACGAAAAACUGGAAUUCAAGUUGGUUUAGAAAUAAUAUGGAGAAAUGACUAGGUCAUUCGAUUCAUUUGUUCAUCACUCGUUAGCAAUCUGUUUCUUAAGUUUACGAACGCUGUAAAUUUUACGACAAAUUAACAAAAUAGCUUAGGUCAAUCCCGUGAUCGAAAGCUCUCUUUUUUGGCUAUAAGUCCCUAAUCACUUGGUGAACCUAUAAUAGUAAAAGGUUUGAAGUCCGUUAAUUUAAGUAUCACAACCUAACAACUCUCUAUCCCUAGAUUGUAUGUUAGAUUUGAACAAUAUAAAUAUGUCAGAGUUACACGUUAGUGUCAAUAGUCAUAUACACUCUAGAAUCAGUUAUGUUGAGUCAGAAUCAUAAAAGCAUUAAGAAUAAUUUAUACUGAAUAAACUAGAAUGACAAUCUUAAAAAUUAAGAGUUACAAGUUACAUUGUACUAAGCUAGAACAGAAUCAUCUCUUGACCUAAUCACAAAGGAUUUAGCUACUCGUGGCUAAAGCACGAAUAACUAAUGUAAAGGAAAUAUUCAUUACAUGAAUUUGACAACCGGCUAUGAGUUUUGAUGGCCUCCCACCUUCUUCUCAGAUCUCCAGCUCCAAAAAACAGUUUCUGUAACACCCCGUUUUCCCAACAUAUAAAUAAUAUAAAAUAAAUCAGAGUUCAUCGCAAAUAGGAUGUCACAUUUCGUUCUUCAAAAUAUCUUUUAACACAAAUAGAGUUAAAUUCACUAUUUAUUUAAACAACUGCUUUCAAUAAUUCAAAAUAAUGUCGUAGCGAAAAUAUUUAAUCUUUAAGCAUUACUUGGCACUAAGGCCUCAACAUCAACAACAUAAAUAAAAUCCACCUAAAAGUGGUCCAACAUCAAAUUAUAAGAAGAUAUGUAACAAUGGAAAAUAAAACACAUAAGAAUCCUCAUGCCGUUACGUAUCAGAGCAUGACUUCUAUGACGAAACGAGAAUUCAACUCACAUCAGCUGUUACUUCUGAAUAUCUGCAUGUUACCCACGUAGAGGUGACAUUCAAACAGAAGGGGUGAGAUUUCACAUUUGAUAAUAAUAAGCAAUAAUUCAUGUAAAAGAAUUUAACAACACAAAACAGCAGCAAUUCAUCAUUAACAAUGCUUCACAUAAGUCGAACUACAAAUCAUCAAUUAACUUCACUCAACAGUACAACGACACGACUUAACAAAUGCAAUGCAAUGCAAUUAUGCAUGUGGUACCAACAGAGCUACAACUCCCUUCGCUAAUGCCGUGAUUCGGCUUUGACAGGCUACAACCUCCUUUGCUUAAUAAAUCACCAAUACAGGCCAUCGUGGUGCCAAUCCAGGCCAUCAUAAUUAAAAUGAAAUGAUUAUGUAAUGACACAAUUAAAAUGCAACAACAGCAACAUCUACUUCGCAUCACAAUUUCACUAUUAAUCAAUAUUAUUCUUCGCAAAUAAACAAUAAUUUCAUUCAAACAAUUAUAAUUACGAAACUCAAGCAUGCAUACCUUAAUUGAACCCCUUAAUACUCAAGUUUGAAGUUUAGAAACCAAACCAUAGGUAUUGGAAUGACUUGGAAAUAAUUAUGCUAAGAUUCUUUAAAAUUUCCCCAAGACCUACUUGAAGUGUUUUCAUCAUAACUCAAAAUCCACAAAACAUUUUCAUGUCAAACCAACGCCAUUGGAAAGAUAACAUAAUUAUUUGAAACCUUCAUGUUUACACCAAAGGCCAAUUCAAAUCAGAAUAAGGGUGAAAAAGCACGAAAAAUCAAAAACCGAAGUCCUGACAGCACGCAAACGAUGCCACAACAAAACAGUCACCCAUGAGGGCUGUCUUUCUGCGCCUAGGCGCUGGCAAGCUGCACCCAGGCGUGGGCAGGCAGUAGCCAGUGACCUGCGGUGCAGCUCUGUGCAGUCCUGGUUUUUUCCCGGUUUUACCAUUUCGCACGUAAAAACUCAACAGUUAACCCGAUUCCAAUUCUGUUUUCGCCUACGCAUUCUAUUCAAUAAAUCCUAUCAUAUUUUACUGAUAAAUCAUAUUUUCAAAUCUUCAAAACAGCUUAUCCCAGAAUCACUUAUUUCCCAAAAACACUUAAAAUCACUUUUAUUCAAAAUAUCAAUUUUUGACCCCAUUCGAUCCCAAUUUGAUAGGAAACAUUACCUAGGGUUACUCUACAACCUAAACAUCAACUUUCACAUUAAUUCAUUGGAUUACUUACACUUUCAAGAAUCAAAUUGCAAUUCAAAACCCUAACUUCUUAAACAUCACAAUUAUCAACAACAUCAAAGUUAGCCCCUUUUUCAGAAUUAUAUAACUCAUAUUAAAGAAGGUUAGUCCCACCCUUACCUUAGACUAGAUGAACUUUGAAUUCUUUAAGCUUUCCCUUGCCCUCUCACAAUGCUCUUCUCUUCUCUGACUUCUCACUUUCACGUUUCCACCAAAAACUGUUUUACAUGUCUGACUCUUCUUUUCCUAACCUCUCCUUAUUCCUAACCUAACACAUUCCCUCUUAUUCCAAUUUUGCCCUUACUGCCUCAUUAUUCUAUUUUAAUUUUAUUCCUUCACUAAUAAUACUAUAAUAAGCUACUAACAUUCACUAACACAUAACACAAAACAUCGCGCAUCACCAUUAUUCACAUAAAUUAUUCAAAAUGACACUAAACUCGAUAAAAUAACUAAAUAAUAAAUUAGGGUGUUACAACUCUCCCCAACUUAGAAUAUUUUCGUCCUCGAAAAUGUACCUCAUUCAAAUAACUUUGGAUACGACUCCAGCAUCUUGCUCUCCAACUCCCACGUCAAACUUUCACCAGCCACUUCUCCCCAAACAACUUUCACAAGAGGCAUCUCCUUGCCUCUCAGCUUCUUCACUUCACGACCUUCAAUCCUCCCUAGUAAGGUCUCGAUCGUAAGAUUGUCUCUCACUUGCACAUCAUCUCUUGGAAUCACAUGAGAUGGAUAUGAAACAUACUUUUGUAGUUGUGACACAUGAAACACAUCAUGUAAGUUCGAAAGAUGCGGUGGUAAACCCACGUUAUACGCAACCGCCCCAACUCUUUGCGAAAUCUGAUACGGGCCAAUAAACCUCGGAGUUAGUUUCUUUGAUUUUAGUGCCCGUCCAACACCGGUAAGAGGGGUGACUCUCAAAAACACAUGGUCUCCUUGAAACUCAAGAUCCUUCCUACGCUUAUCAUGAUAACUCUUUUGUCUACUCUGUGACGCUUUCAUCUUUUCUCUAAUCAACUUAACAUUUUCAUUAGUCUGUUGAACAAUGUCUGGUCCCAGUACCACACUCUCACCGGACUCAUCACAACACAACGGAGUUCUGCAUCUCCGACCAUACAACGCUUCGAACGGUGCCAUUCCAAUGCUAGAAUGGUAACUAUUAUUGUAAGUGAACUCGAUUAAUGGAAGAUGACUAUCCCAAGAUCCCCCUUGCUCAAGUACACAAACUCUCAACAAGUCCUCCAACGACUGAAUUGUCCUCUCCGUCUAUCCAUCUGUCUGCGGAUGAUACGCCUAACUCAAACUCAACUUAGAACCCAACGCCUCCUACAAACUCUUCCAAAAUCUAGAAGUAAAUCUUGGAUCCCUAUCUAAUACAAUACUCGAUGGAACACCAUGUAACUUCACAAUCUCACGGAUAUAAAUCUUUUCCAACUGAGAUACAGGAAAAUUGAUGUUAAUCGGAAUAAAAUGAGCCGACUUCGUCAGUCUAUCCACAAUUACCCAAAUCGCAUCAUGUCCUUUUGGAGUAUUCGGCAAACUCGUCACAAAAUCCAUGGAUAUACUAUCCCACGUCCACUCUGGAACAUCUAAAGGUGUCAACAACCCAACAGGUUUCUGAUGUUCAACUUUCGACUUUUGACAAAUUAAACACGCAUACACAAAUUGUGCCACAUCUCGCUUCAACCCGGACCACCAAAACAACUUCUUCAAAUCAUGAUAUAUUUUUGUAGCUCCCGGAUGAAUACUCAAAUUAUUUCUGUGACCUCCCUUCGGAACCAAAUGAGGUACUUCAAAGUAACCUCCCUGUUGAAAUUUCGUCUAAAACGACGAAGACUCUCGGCUUUAAAAAAUACGAAUAAAAUGGGUAAAAACAGAUAAAAGUGAUCAAAAUUUGGGGUAUGACAGGCAGCAUCUAGACGCUCAUUUAUGCAACUUUUGUGGCUCUUAUGUGUGUGGGUGUUAUGGACUGAACGUAAUAAUAGACAGUUUAAUAACACCAAAAUUUCUAUUCAUCAGAUAUUCGAAAAGGUUCAAAUUCAUUCUUAUUGGUGGAUGAAUGCAGCAAAUGCAACUUUUGUAUUAGGGGUUCAUAACUGACUAGCUUGCCCUAUUCUUUGUUUGGGUAUAGGUUAGCUGACCCUUUUCUUUUUUCUUUCAUUUUGACCGAACACUUUGUGUAAUAAUGGUCGCUCUCUUUUAGCACAUCUUGUGCGGAAGUAGCGACAUUUGAUUGUUAAUAUAAGUCUCAUUCUUGCUUGUUAAAAAAAAAUUAACAAUUAUUUCUCAGUUUUUAUCAUCAACAUCAUUUCUUACAUUACCCCUAAAAAAAUCAUUUCUUACAUUAAUUUUAUCUUAUUUUUCAAUUCAAAUAACAUUGCAAAUGCAAUUUUUUACGCAUAACACUCGCUUGGAUGCAUAACCCUGUGCAGAGCAUGGACCCGUUAGGACUUAAAAGCCAAGCAAGAAAUAAAAGGAGAAGCCGCAUGGUGCACAUAGUUAAAUUCUAGAACAGUAAAAGCAAUGAUCCUAUUUCCAUGAAUUUUACUUUUCUUGUCCAUUGAGCAAAGUGAUGGAGAUAUAGUUAAAUUCUAGAUUAGUGAUGUCCAGUUCGUUACGAGGACAAGUUACUUUUUUUAGUAGUGAAGAUUAGUGAUAAAACUAGAUUAAAGUGAAGGUGUAAGAUUUUUUUUAAGCAAGCAUAUUUACUUAUCUUGUUCAUUAGGUAAAGGUUUGAGAGAAAAAAAAUCCAAAGCAGUACAGUGAGCCCAUAUUAUAUAAUAUUAUAUAAUACACGUUUUGAUUUAAAUUCCUCAACCAUUAUUAUAUUGAAAGAAUGAUGGCAUCCCAAACUACCCUUGAAAAAAAAAUUGUGGAGCUAGAAAAUUCAAAGCAAAUACCCCAAAGUUCACGACCAAAGAUACAAAGGGUGCCACACAAUCUCAGAAACAGAAAAAACUUUGAGAAGUAUUACUCACCCAAGUUCCUGUCAAUAGGUCCUAUCCAUCAUGGCAAUACAGAUCUGAAGUUAGGAGGGAAGUACAAGCUUAUGUGGGCAGCAAAAUACAUUGAAAAUACAAGACUCAAUCCACGGGAUCUACACAAAAAGAUUUUUGAUAACAUCGAUGAACUGAAGGGUCAUUUUGACGAUGAUGUAAUUUUAACUUUAACCGGCAAGUCUCUUGAAGGCUUUGGAAGCCUUGAAGAAAAGCUGUCGUGGAUAUUGUUCGUGGAUGGAUGCUCUUUGCUUUAUAUCUUGGAUGGAUGUUGUACGUGGAUGGAUGACCCAGAGCCUAUGGAUAUUAAGGUUGAUCAACUGGUUCUUGUGAUGAUGGAUGUGCUUUUGUUGGAGAAUCAACUACCUUAUCAAGUACUCAAGCUAUUGUGGAAAGAUGAAGACAAGAGUGGAUUGAUAGAAAGCAUCAUGAAUUUCUUCAAAUAUAUUUUGGCAAGACCAGGUGAGUCGCAGUCAGAGAAGGAGAUACACGUGGUUCUAAACGGAGGAGAAC